UAGUAGAUUACAUAUUUUCUCCAUGAUAGAGGCAACCUGUGUGAUCUCUUGUGCAUGAGUCAAACAUAGAUGUAGUAGAGAUUACCUGGUUUCUCCAUGAUAUAGCCAAGUUGUGUCAUCCCUUACAAACCCAUCGCAUAUCAAAUGUUCAUAAACAGGUUCUUGAACAAACCAUAAACUCUUAUUGCAUUUCUUACCUGGACAUAAAAUCUUAUUCUC
This 219-nucleotide long non-coding RNA is filed under the name Elaeis guineensis (African oil palm). RNAcentral's name for it is "long non-coding RNA (EGUI_LNC065839)". The record is from RNAcentral. Lineage: Eukaryota; Viridiplantae; Streptophyta; Magnoliopsida; Arecales; Arecaceae.